CUGUAAAGGACAGGAAAAAAAAAGAUGAAGAAAGCUGUGAUGAUGAUAGAGAAGAGACCACUUCGUUAGCUUGCUGGAGGAGCAGGUCUAGCUCAUAGGAUUGUUUUUCCACAAAUCGAGAUUCGGCUUGAAAGCGAGGUUGGGGCACAGUACAGCAAGUCUUGCGAGCUUGAGUUCGUGAGUUUCACUCGUCCUGCCAAUCUGUGGGUUGGCAUGACAUCUAGUGUUGUACAGCUUUCAAGGAGCGUUUCUCCAGUGAGGAGUGAUCACCUCAAGGCAGCCUCACAGGAACCGGGUGCUUACGUGGUUAGGCCAUUCCACGAGUUCCUGAAGCGAACGGGGGCCCUCAGACGCGAGGAGGCAUCAGUGGAAGGGAAGUGGCGGAAUCACAACUUCAGGUGGUCUCGCUGCUAUCCAGUCCCCCUUUCUCCUUCAUGUAUGCGCCAUUCGUAUAUCUGGGAGACGGAUCGUGCUUAGUGUGGCUUUGUCGAAGCCUUGGCUCUUGGGGGUUCGAGAGAGUUUUGUUCUCAUCACGGCCCCCCUCACCACCAUCGAUGUGUAGAAAGUCGCUUGCGAUACUUCACUUGCUUGGUCGGAGUGUGCGCCAGAGCAGUAUAUGGCCGUUUCCAUCGCGCCGCUGUAAAAAGACUGCGCUUGCUCAACGACGUAUGUCAUGCGUUUUGCGAGCGUGCUGCAGUCAUUUUUGCACCUUUUCUGGCGACUCAUGAUACAUACAAAGGUGAUGCCCUCUGGCUCGCAGAAAGCUGUUUCGCCUGGUUAAUAGAGGCCUCAUCCUAAGAAGCAUUGGUGGGUGUUUUUGAGGCACUGGACAAGGGUGGCGUCGCCUGCCCGCCGUUUGACUUGCUAUUGGAUCAAUGGUGCACCAGGAGCACAGCCAAUUAAACACAAUAAAGAGUUGCUCUUCCCUAUGUUAGAAACUCAUGCUUUGAUCGAUCGAGG
Molecule: unclassified non-coding RNA, 960 nt
Filed under: Leishmania donovani
Lineage: Eukaryota; Euglenozoa; Kinetoplastea; Trypanosomatida; Trypanosomatidae
Description: gene:unknown
Source: RNAcentral